Long non-coding RNA from Camellia sinensis, 760 nucleotides. RefSeq lists it as uncharacterized. The record is from RefSeq and is a predicted model, not a curated record. NCBI's taxonomy places the organism in Eukaryota, Viridiplantae, Streptophyta, Magnoliopsida, Ericales, Theaceae.
AUCUAAUUUACGCAAUUUGGCUACGAUGGUUGAUGGGUUAGUGACUGAAGGUUCUCCUUCGCCUAAGGGGAGUUCGCACAUCGUGAAAGAUUUACUGUUUGAGAGGGAUUUGUUAACAUUGAUGGACAUCGUGAAGCGAAAUGGGGGUAAAAAUCAGUCUUCUACCUCUGAGAUCGUUUUGGGUAUGAGCCCUAGGGCUUCGAUUGGGGUUCAGUCCGAGGUCCCUACUCCUAGUUCCUUUGUCGAAGCUAUGGGUGGUCUCUGUUCCGAGAUCCGAGACCUUGCUCAGCAACAAAAGCUUUGUUUUGGGGGAGAAGUGGUGUCGAGCCUUGCCGUUGUUCAUUCGCAGCACUGCUACAUAUGUUGAGAUUGAGUUGCCUGUUCCAGCCGAUGCUACCAACCCAAAUGUUCGGACAUCAUUGGGAUCUGCUUCAUAUGCACCAGAAAAGGAUGCUUUGAUCUGGGAAAUUAAAUCUUUUCCUGGUGGUAAGGAAUAUAUGCUUAGAGCGGAGUAUACUCUUCCCAGCAUAACAUCUGAAGACGCAGCUUCUGAGAGAAAAGCUCCUAUACGUGUGAAGUUUGAGAUACCAUAUUUUGCUGUUUCAGGAAUCCAGGUACGCAUCUUUUGGACCUGAAUAUGCCUACCCACAGGGUGUCUACAAUCCUCACAUGGGUCAGCAUUACCUUCAAAUAUAUGGCGUACCAGGCAUAGUUAACACAAAUAUUGUCCCAUAUGGACAAAUGGGUCAUCUUUUCUCUG